GACGAACGCUGGCGGCGUGCUUAACACAUGCAAGUCGAACGGAAAGGCCCUGCUUUUGUUGGGUGCUCGAUUGGCGAACGGGUGAGUAACACGUGAGUAACCUGCCCUUGACUUUGGGAUAACUUCAGGAAACUGGGGCUAAUACCGGAUAGGAGCUCCUGCUGCAUGGGGGUGGUUGGAAAGUUUCGGCGGUUGGGGAUGGGCUCGCGGCUUAUCAGCUUGUUGGUGGGGUAGUGGCUUACGAAGGCUUUGACGGGUAGCCGGCCUGAGAGGGUGACCGGCGACAUUGGGCCUGAGGUACGGACCAGAAUCCAACGGGAGGCAGCAGUGGGAAAUAUUGCACAAUGGGCGGAAGCCUGAUGCAGAAACGCCGCGUGCGGGAUGACGGCCUUCGGGUUGUAAACCGCUUUCGCCUGUGACGAAGCGUGAGUGACGGUAAUGGGUAAAGAAGCAACGGCUAACUACGUG
Molecule: ribosomal RNA, 468 nt
Filed under: uncultured bacterium
Lineage: Bacteria
Description: partial 16S ribosomal RNA
Rfam family: Bacterial small subunit ribosomal RNA
Source: RNAcentral